UGGAAUAGCGUAAACAAAAGA
Molecule: non-coding RNA, 21 nt
Filed under: Caenorhabditis elegans
Lineage: Eukaryota; Metazoa; Nematoda; Chromadorea; Rhabditida; Rhabditidae
Source: RNAcentral